RNAcentral lists this transfer RNA (93 nucleotides) under Novosphingobium resinovorum. RNAcentral describes it as "tRNA-Gly". The record is from RNAcentral. Lineage: Bacteria; Pseudomonadati; Pseudomonadota; Alphaproteobacteria; Sphingomonadales; Sphingomonadaceae.
CGCAACUGGGCGAGGCGGCCUGCCUCGUCGGUGUCGCCAUCGCCGAACAGCCGCUCGAACACGGCGCGGGGGUUCGCCUCCACCGGCAGCGGC